Molecule: small nucleolar RNA, 92 nt
Organism: Nannospalax galili (Upper Galilee mountains blind mole rat)
Lineage: Eukaryota; Metazoa; Chordata; Mammalia; Rodentia; Spalacidae
Product: predicted gene, 25878
Source: Ensembl
GCUGGUGUAAAUGAUGACUUGACUUUUUUUCCCCAUCAGAUCGACCAUGUUGAUCACUGAGAAAACUUGCCAGUUAGUCCUGAUGCACCAGC